This 257-nucleotide ribosomal RNA is filed under the name Amycolatopsis sp. CB00013. RNAcentral's name for it is "partial 16S ribosomal RNA". It matches the Rfam family "Bacterial small subunit ribosomal RNA", at positions 1 to 260 of the family's 1533-position model. The record is from RNAcentral. Lineage: Bacteria; Bacillati; Actinomycetota; Actinomycetes; Pseudonocardiales; Pseudonocardiaceae.
CAUUGUUGGAGAGUUUGAUCCUGGCUCAGGACGAACGCUGGCGGCGUGCUUAACACAUGCAAGUCGAACGAUGAAGCCUUUCGGGGUGGAUUAGUGGCGAACGGGUGAGUAACACGUGGGCAAUCUGCCCUGUACUUUGGGAUAAGCCUGGGAAACUGGGUCUAAUACCGGAUAUGACCGAGCCUCGCAUGGGGUUUGGUGGAAAGCUCCGGCGGUACGGGAUGAGCCCGCGGCCUAUCAGCUUGUUGGUGGGGUAA